Molecule: ribosomal RNA, 450 nt
Filed under: uncultured bacterium
Lineage: Bacteria
Description: bacterial SSU rRNA
Rfam family: Bacterial small subunit ribosomal RNA
Source: RNAcentral
AGCGAACGCUGGCGGCAGGCUUAACACAUGCAAGUCGAGCGCCCCGCAAGGGGAGCGGCAGACGGGAGAGUAACACGUGGGAACAUACCCUUUAGUACGGAACAACCCAGGGAAACUUGGGCUAAUACCGUAUACGCCCUUACGGGGAAAGAUUUAUCGCUAAAGGAUUGGCCCGCGUCUGAUUAGCUAGUUGGUGAGGUAACGGCUCACCAAGGCGACGAUCAGUAGCUGGUCUGAGAGGAUGAUCAGCCUCACUGGGACUGAGACACGGCCCAGACUCCUACGGGAGGCAGCAGUGGGGAAUAUUGGACAAUGGGGGCAACCCUGAUCCAGCCAUGCCGCGUGGAUGAUGAAGGCCUUAGGGUUGUAAAGUCCUUUCGGCGGGGAAGAUAAUGACGGUACCCGCAGAAGAAGCCCCGGCUAACUUCGUGCCAGCCGCCGCCGUAAAAC